Molecule: long non-coding RNA, 510 nt
Organism: Stylophora pistillata
Lineage: Eukaryota; Metazoa; Cnidaria; Anthozoa; Scleractinia; Pocilloporidae
Source: RefSeq, a predicted model, not a curated record
UACGAGUUUACUAGCGUGCUCACAUUGCGCAUGCGUAGCUCUGCGCGACACUGUCACGGAAGCGGGAAACUCGUCGUCCGCCGCUCGUCGACAACGAGAUUUUGACCAGAAGUCGUCCUCUAGAGAACGAAUUUCGAAAGCGAUAGCGAAACGAGAACUUUUUAUUUGGAAAGGAAACACGAAACUAUGCUUCUCAGAGAAGUACUGGUUGAAGAGCCUCACAAGUACUGACCAGAUUCAAAAGAGAGAGGUAUAUCUUGGACGAAAAUCGCCGAACACUAUAAUAAAACCUUGAACACUGAAACAUUUUAUUAGCUUCUCAUUAAUUAUUGUCAUAUUAAUACCAUUAUAUUUAUGAAAUGAAAACUAAGGAAGAGUUUGUAUGGUAAAAUAUCUGAAUACAUUAUUUUUACAUCUUUUUUAGUUGUAUCAUAUAAAUGUACUGUAUUAUUAUUACAAAGUCAGUUCAGCUGUUUUGAAAUUAAAAAUUAUACAUAUUUACAAUUUUGA